RNAcentral lists this ribosomal RNA (301 nucleotides) under uncultured bacterium. RNAcentral's name for it is "partial 16S ribosomal RNA". It matches the Rfam family "Bacterial small subunit ribosomal RNA", at positions 509 to 808 of the family's 1533-position model. The record is from RNAcentral.
CAGUCGCCGGCGGGAAUACAGAGGGUGCGAGCGUUAAUCGGAUUUACUGGGCGUAAAGCGUGCGUAGGCGGCUUCUUAAGUCGGAUGUGAAAUCCCUGAGCUUAACUUAGGAAUUGCAUUCGAUACUGGGAAGCUAGAGUAUGGGAGAGGAUGGUAGAAUUCCAGGUGUAGCGGUGAAAUGCGUAGAGAUCUGGAGGAAUACCGAUGGCGAAGGCAGCCAUCUGGCCUAAUACUGACGCUGAGGUACGAAAGCAUGGGGAGCAAACAGGAUUAGAGACCCCAGUAGUCCCUGUCUCUUAUA